CGGGGUGGAGUAACGCGUGGGUAACCGUGCCUUGUACAGGGGAGUAACAGUUGGAAACGGCUGCUAAUACCGCAUAAGCGCACAGCAUCGCAUGAUGCAGUGUGAAAAACUCCGGUGGUAUAAGAUGGACCCGCGUUGGAUUAGCUAGUUGGUGAGGUAACGGCCCACCAAGGCGACGAUCCAUAGCCGACCUGAGAGGGUGACCGGCCACAUUGGGACUGAGACACGGCCCAA
RNAcentral lists this ribosomal RNA (234 nucleotides) under uncultured bacterium. RNAcentral describes it as "partial 16S ribosomal RNA". It matches the Rfam family "Bacterial small subunit ribosomal RNA", at positions 104 to 334 of the family's 1533-position model. The record is from RNAcentral.